RNAcentral lists this ribosomal RNA (496 nucleotides) under uncultured bacterium. Its description in RNAcentral is "partial 16S ribosomal RNA". It matches the Rfam family "Bacterial small subunit ribosomal RNA", at positions 29 to 507 of the family's 1533-position model. The record is from RNAcentral.
AUGAACGCUGGCGGCGUGCCUAAUACCUGCCCGUCGAGCGCACGGACGAGAAGCUUGCUUCUCUGAUGUUAGCGGCGGACGGGUGAGUAACACGUGGAUAACCUACCUAUAAGACUGGGAUAACUUCGGGAAACCGGAGCUAAUACCGGAUAAUAUUUUGAACCGCCUGGUUCAAAAGUGAAAGACGGUCUUGCUGUCACUUAUAGAUGGAUCCGCGCUGCAUUAGCUAGUUGGUAAGGUAACGGCUUACCAAGGCAACGAUGCAUAGCCGACCUGAGAGGGUGAUCGGCCACACUGGAACUGAGACACGGUCCAGACUCCUACGGGAGGCAGCAGUAGGGAAUCUUCCGCAAUGGGCGAAAGCCUGACGGAGCAACGCCGCGUGAGUGAUGAAGGUCUUCGGAUCGUAAAACUCUGUUAUUAGGGAAGAACAUAUGUGUAAGUAACUGUGCACAUCUUGACGGUACCUAAUCAGAAAGCCACGGCUAACUACGUG